UACUGAAUAACGUAGAAGAAUACGCAAUCAUCAAUUCAAAGUAUGAGAUUACAUGUGAACAACAAUGUAUCCAUAUCUGUACCCUGCAAAUUAAAAAACUAUUUACUCAAAACAUUUUCCGUACUAUUCAGAAUAUUAGCGUAACUCAUCAUUAGCUGCUGUGCGGUUGUUUUAACAUGGAACUAUGGAAGCAUUGUGUAAAUUAGCUGUUGAGUUUUACGCCUUCAGCCUGCCACUGAUUAAUCAUUGAGAAAAUUAUUCUUUCCUCACCGCAUAGACAGGUUGGGAUGUGACAUGUUCAGUUUGCAAUUUCCUCUGUAUCAUCUUUCAGGAGCCCUGUCUUCUUCCCUGUUCUUGUAGAGUGUGACCUUACCUUAAUGAGUCACAUAUCUCACAUCAUAUCCAGUAAAUUAUUAUCCUAUAGAUUGUUCUGUGGUUUAUCCAAAUAAAUACAUUCUGUCUUGGAUUACAUUUUUCAGUCGGACUUAUCUUGUUUAUUUAAGUACUUGUGUGUAUUAGAAUUGAAUUUUCAGUGAUUCUGUAAUAUACUACUCAGCUGUGUGGUAUUCGGUGAUUUAAGCAACUGCUUUGUUAUAUUUCAUUAAAAUUACUAUCAAAGCAAGUAUUUCCUGUACUGAUGUAAC
Pelobates cultripes (western spadefoot toad) is the source of this 644-nucleotide non-coding RNA. Lineage: Eukaryota; Metazoa; Chordata; Amphibia; Anura; Pelobatidae. The record is from the annotation of a GenBank genome assembly.